AGCCAAGCAGAGGCUGGCCAUGAGGGCGACAGACGGAAGCGGCCGCCCAUGA
This 52-nucleotide non-coding RNA is filed under the name Xanthomonas campestris pv. campestris. Lineage: Bacteria; Pseudomonadati; Pseudomonadota; Gammaproteobacteria; Lysobacterales; Lysobacteraceae. The record is from RNAcentral.